GUGGGGGAUAUUGCACAAUGGAGGAAACUCUGAUGCAGCGACGCCGCGUGAGUGAAGAAGUAUUUCGGUAUGUAAAGCUCUAUCAGCAGGGAAGAUAAUGACAGUACCUGACUAAGAAGCCCCGGCUAACUACGUGCCAGCAGCCGCGGUAAUACGUAGGGGGCAAGCGUUAUCCGGAUUUACUGGGUGUAAAGGGAGCGUAGACGGAAUGGUAAGUCUGAAGUGAAAUCCUGCGGCUUAACUGCAGAAUUGCUUUGGAAACUGUCAAUCUGGAGUGGUGGAGAGGUAAGCGGAAUUCCUGGUGUAGCGGUGAAAUGCGUAGAUAUCAGGAAGAACACCGGAGGCGAAGGCGGCUUACUGGACAAUAACUGACGUUGAGGCUCGAAAGCGUGGGAAGCAAACAGGAUUAGAAACCCCGGUAGUCC
Molecule: ribosomal RNA, 425 nt
Filed under: uncultured bacterium
Lineage: Bacteria
Description: partial 16S ribosomal RNA
Rfam family: Bacterial small subunit ribosomal RNA
Source: RNAcentral